Non-coding RNA from Trichuris suis (pig whipworm), 72 nucleotides. Lineage: Eukaryota; Metazoa; Nematoda; Enoplea; Trichinellida; Trichuridae. The record is from Rfam.
UCUCCUGUGAUCUAGUGGUUAGGAUUUGUGGCUUUCACCCACAAGGCCCAGGUUCAACUCCCGGCACUGGAG